CUAAGGCCAAAAAUCACCAAGUUUUCUUCCAUCUUUUCUUCAAAAACCGAAACUACACCCUAAGGUGAGCUUCAUACCCCCUAUUUUUCUGUUUUAUAAGUUUUGUGGGGGGGGGAUACAAGUGAAAGUGUAGAUCUAUAUGUGUUUUGUAUGCCUUGUAUGAUUUCUAUGCUUAUAUGUGUGUUUUUGUGUGUUUAUAAUGUUGGAUCUAGCCAUAAACCCCUAAAAAUCGAGACAUACUUUAUGUUAAAUGAUACUAUCAUCAAAUAUAUUUCUACAUACAAAGUGUUCCAAGAAAAAUAGCUAAAUGGCUUAAUAACAUUUUCCUUGGGCUAAAAACUCAAUUUUUGGACAUAAAAUGGUAAAAAUAUAAAGUUAAAGGACCCAAAAUGUAAUAUUUCGAAUUCUGAUGGGUGAGAUGAGUCAAAACAGUUUCCAUAAUGUAUUUUCUGAAAAUAUAUUUUUUUUGGAAGGUUAAAAACAUAAAUUAAAGCUUAAUGGGCUAAAAAUGACAUUUUCGGCCCAAUAGGGCCCAAUAUGCGAAACUUUCUGUUUUGAAGGGCCAAAACUGUGUUUUUCUGUAAAACAGUGGACUACAAGUGUUCCAAGUCCUUUUCUAAGGUUUAAAAUGCUUUUCAAAUUUAAAAAGGACCAAAGUUGCAAAAUUUUUCCAAAUUGGGCCAAAAAUGUAAAAACUGCGAAAAAGAGGGGUUACAACCGAGAAAACUGUAUUUUCAGGGACUAAAACUGUUUUUAACUAAAAAUGUGCUGAAAAAUAUCAAUUCCAAUAAGUUUUGAUGUUAAAAUGCCAAGAAAAAUAGUUUAAGGACUAAACCGGAAAUUUAUUUAUGCAAAGGGUUGAAAAAGUAAAUUUACAAAAUAAAGAGGGGCUGAAAACAGAAAAUUUUCAAGGCUAAUUCAAUACACCCAUCGUGAUCAAAUAUUGGCACCGCGACUACCGACGAAAUACAAUACACAACAAUACCAAAAAUCGUUGUUAAACGAAUUGAUUCGGUCUCGAAUCAAUAACAACCCGAAACUACUAACACGACGAUAACUCGAUUCACACAAGUAACAUUUGGGAAUUCAAUACACACGUGAGAGUGCACAGACNGAAUCAAUAACAACCCGAAACUACUAAUACGACGAUACCUCGAUUCACACAAGUAACAUUUGGGAAUUUAAUACACACGUGAGAGUGCACAGACGUCUACGCACCAUCUUUGGGCCCAAAAGUGUAAAAUCUUGUUAGUUGGGCCUAGCUAGCCCGAUGACCUGAUCUUUAGGCCCGAAGACUUCAACCUUACGAGUUGUUGAGUCUUACAUGACCCAACACAAUGUAAAAGGACUUUCAAUGGCCUUUAUACUAUUGGUCCCCAAGGGUCCUUUGGUACGGCUAGUAAAAUCGGUUAUUCAAAUGCGAAUCGGGUCAAGGACCCUUCGUACUCUUUUUUUAUCCCCAAGCGGCUAACAGAGUUACCGAGGUCUUCGUGCCCUCUUUCUCUUCGGAUGUGGGACUACAAGAAGUCAGGGCGGUUGGAUUACAUGAAUAAUACGGACGACGGCUACGGGAUCGUUAGUAUAAGUUGUGAACUGGCCAUUUGUGUAUCGCGUGUUUAUAACAAUUCACUACGCGCAAUAAUCCGACGUCGUCUGGAAUCAAUGACUUCACACUACGCGAUGGUUCUACAACUACAUGGAAUUCAAAGUAUUAGGAAAACAUCGGGUUUUCCUAGGGUUAUACAAUACACACAGUUUCGAAAAGUACACUAACAUAAUGAACAUUUUUAUUACAACUAUAGAAACAAACAAGCAUACUUAUGGAUCUUCACAAACUUUUUCAGAAAC
This 1848-nucleotide long non-coding RNA is filed under the name Lactuca sativa (garden lettuce). RNAcentral's name for it is "long non-coding RNA (LSAT_LNC001022)". The record is from RNAcentral. Lineage: Eukaryota; Viridiplantae; Streptophyta; Magnoliopsida; Asterales; Asteraceae.